CAGGGUAUAGUUUUAAAAAAAUAUUAAUUUUGGAGAUUAGUGAUAAGGAUAAAAUUCUUUUUCCCUGA
This 68-nucleotide transfer RNA is filed under the name Trigonopterus carinirostris. Its description in RNAcentral is "tRNA-Pro". The record is from RNAcentral. Lineage: Eukaryota; Metazoa; Arthropoda; Insecta; Coleoptera; Curculionidae.